Molecule: ribosomal RNA, 469 nt
Filed under: uncultured archaeon
Lineage: Archaea
Description: bacterial SSU rRNA
Rfam family: Archaeal small subunit ribosomal RNA
Source: RNAcentral
GACCGAUGCUUUUCUUGACUCUUCAAAGGUCUUGGAAUAAGGGGUGGGUAAGGACGGUGCCAGCCGCCGCGGUAAUACCGGCGCCUCAAGUGGUAGUCGCUUUUAUUGGGCCUAAAACGUCCGUAGCCGGUUUGGUACAUUCGUGGGUAAAUCAAGGCGCUCAACGUCUUGAAUUCUGCGAGCACGGCCAGACUUGGGACCGGGUGAGGUGUGGGGUACUCUCAGGGUAGGGGUAAAAUCCUGUCAUCCUGAGAGGACCACCUGUUGCGAAGGCGCCACACUAGAACGGAUCCGACGGUCAGGGACGAAGCCUAGGGGCACGAACCGGAUUAGAUACCCGGGUAGUCCUAGGUGUAAACGCUGUGGACUUGAUGUUGGGAGUGCUCCGAGCACCCUCAGUGUCGAAGCGAAGGUGAUAAGUCCACUGCCUGGGGAGUACGGUCGCAAGGCUGAAACUUAAAGGAAUUGG